CGUCAAUAGAGUCUGGUUUGGACGUCGGGGUCCUUUUGUGUGGAUGCUGCGACGUCAUUGUGUCCUCAUGUCCAUCAUGUCUCUUCCGUGGUUUUUCAUCAAUUCUGAUUCGAUAGCCAGAUUGUCUACAUUACUACAGAAUUCUUAUCCAUAAAAUAUUAAAAAGUCAUGCAAUUUAUAAAUUAAUAUUUAUAUAUUGCAUGAUUUUAUAUUUAACAAAAUACCAAAAUACAGACCAAACUGAAAACAGAAUCAAACAAAACUAAACAGACAUUGAUUUCCAUUGAAAUACUAUGAAAAUACUAUUAUUGAAGUUUUUGAUUAUAUAAUUAUGUAAAGACAACAUUGAAUUACAGAAAAUAUGUUGUUAUAAUUAAGAAAUAAGUCUGAGAAAAUUCAGUUUAGAAGAAAAAUGAAAUUUUGGCAUUUAGAAGAGAUCAAAGAAUCUAAAGAUCUAUACUUUAACUAAAUAUAAACAAAGAAAAUUAUUACUUUAAUUAGAGAACAGAAGUCAGCUGAAAAAUAAAAUUAAGGUGAACACUGGUUUACAGAUCCCCAAUAUAAGGGAUUCCAAUUCAAUUUUACAAGAAAUUUAUAACAAGCAAAAGUUUCAAACUCACGUAAGGCACUUCUUGUCGAGAUAAAAUACUAUAUAAAGAGUGAAAAUGAUUACGGAGAAUUUACACAAAUGUUUUUUAUAAAACACUUUCAAAUUUUUAAAUAUUUUACAUACAUUUAUUUAAAACAGCAUUUGAAUGCUGUUUUAUUUUACAUAUGGAAUGCAUUUUGCUAAAUUUGAAUAUAAUAGACAAUCAAUCCGGAUUCAUCACGCUAAAUGAUUCUGACUUUUCAUCCAUAAAACCAGAAUUGAAUCCAGGUUUUAAUCCUCAAAAUUUAUAUGAAAGAUCCUAGUUCAGCUGUUGGUUUUCUACAAUCCAGUUCACCUCUCCAGCAUCAACCAAAUGGUUGCACAGUACAGCAUUGCCUUACAACCCGAAGUUUCAGAUUCAAAUCUGGAUCUGAUAUUCAUAUUUUUUCAGGUGGGUCUCAGCUCAUUGAACUAAAUCCUUCAACUGAUGUCCCACUCUACUAUGAAUGUGAGUGAUUGGUAUUUAUGUGGUUUAUUGUUUUGUGGGGAUGUAGGUAGACAACAGAAAGGUUAGGUUAAUUUUUGUUAAGCCAGCUUAUUGCACAUAUCUGAGUGGCCACUUUUAGAACCUAUCAUAGGUUGGCCAAUAUCCAUGAUGAGGCUGACUGAAGUUUGAAGGAUGGGAUUCAAUAGCUGUACUUCCAAAAAUAUGAUAUGGUGGGAUCCAAAUUUGAACCCAGAUUCUCCAAGGUAGUAAGCAAAUGCUUUACCAUGCAGCCAUUUUGGCUGGCAACAGCAGUG
Molecule: long non-coding RNA, 1390 nt
Filed under: Androctonus crassicauda
Lineage: Eukaryota; Metazoa; Arthropoda; Arachnida; Scorpiones; Buthidae
Source: RNAcentral